Long non-coding RNA from Chelonia mydas (Green sea turtle), 740 nucleotides. RefSeq lists it as uncharacterized. The record is from RefSeq and is a predicted model, not a curated record. Lineage: Eukaryota; Metazoa; Chordata; Testudines; Cheloniidae. The transcript is spliced from 2 exons.
GCUCGCUAUGCCCCUACUUAUACAUCCCAAAAUGCCAUUGGCCUUCUUGGCAACAAGGGCACACUGCUGACUCAUAUCCAGCUUCUCGUCUACUGUCACCCCUAGGUCCUUUGCUUUAUACUGCUUUGCUUUAUGACUGUUCUGGAGCUAGAUUUAGUAAAUCUGACCUGACUCUGCCCACACAAGUUUACAAUAUAUAGGUAUGAGUGGGUACAAUACAUUGCAAACAAUAUGGGCAAGUAUGACCUAGAUAGGCAAAGAUUUUCUCUACUACAUAUCCAGUAUUAGGGCCACUGGAAAAGCACAAGUCUAAGUUCCAGAUAAGUUUAAUUUAAAAAAAAAAAAGUAGGUUAAAUCAGAUGCCUGGUUGAUGCUGGCUUUAACAGUUACAGCAAAGCAAGUCAUUUCUAUUUUUUUCUAUAAACACAGCAUUGAUUCAUAGUUGGGCUUCCAGAUGUAGCUUAAAGUCAACGAAACCCUAGUAAAGCAGAAAAAUAGAAUAGUGUAUUUUUAUAAAAAUACACUGUUAUCAAACAUACCUGAUAAUGUAUAGUUCUCACAAUGUUAAAACUUGUGAAGUUUGAAAACUCAAGAUCAAUUAAUACAGAGCUCACUGGGAGAUCAGUCCUAGAAAUGCAAAGGGGAGCAAUAUUUUUGUCUGACUUAUGGAAAAAUCUUUUUACAACAUUGAGAUAAAAAUGAAUUUUUACUGCUAAAUGAGCCAUCUUUUCCUGAAAGAU